This 500-nucleotide ribosomal RNA is filed under the name uncultured Bacteroidota bacterium. RNAcentral describes it as "bacterial SSU rRNA". It matches the Rfam family "Bacterial small subunit ribosomal RNA", at positions 378 to 880 of the family's 1533-position model. The record is from RNAcentral. Lineage: Bacteria; Pseudomonadati; Bacteroidota.
CAACCNUGAUCCAGCCAUGCCGCGUGAAGGAAGACGGCCCUUCGGGUUGUAAACUUCUUUUGUAUGGGACUAAUAAGGUGGUAUACUCACCGAUGCAGGUACCAUAGGAAUAAGCACCGGCUAACUACGUGCCAGCAGCCGCGGUAAUACGUAGGGUGCAAGCGUUGUCCGGAUUUAUUGGGUUUAAAGGGUGCGUAGGCGGUUUGAUCAGUCAGUGGUUAAAGACUGUGGCUUAACCAUAGCACGCCAUUGAUACUGUCAAACUUGAGUAUGUGAGAGGAAACUGGAAUGUGUGGUGUAGCGGUGAAAUGCAUAGAUAUCACACAGAACACCGAUUGCGAAGGCAGGUUUCUAUUACAUAACUGACGCUGAGGCACGAAAGCGUGGGUAGCGAACGGGAUUAGAUACCCCGGUAGUCCACGCUGUAAACGAUGAUCACUAGGUGUCCGAAUUUCGGUUUGGGUGCCCAAGCGAAAGCGAUAAGUGAUCCACGUGGGGAG